This 498-nucleotide ribosomal RNA is filed under the name uncultured bacterium. RNAcentral's name for it is "partial 16S ribosomal RNA". It matches the Rfam family "Bacterial small subunit ribosomal RNA", at positions 29 to 507 of the family's 1533-position model. The record is from RNAcentral.
AUGAACGCUGGCGGCGUGCCUAAUACAUGCAAGUCGAGCGAACAGACGAGAGUGCUUGCACUCUCUGACGUUAGCGGCGGACGGGUGAGUAACACGUGGGUAACCUACCUAUAAGACUGGGAUAACUUCGGGAAACCGGAGCUAAUACCGGAUAAUAUUUAGCUUCGCAUGAAGCAAUAGUGAAAGACGGUUCUGCUGUCACUUAUAGAUGGACCCGCGGUGUAUUAGCUAGUUGGUGAGGUAACGGCUCACCAAGGCAACGAUACAUAGCCGACCUGAGAGGGUGAUCGGCCACACUGGGACUGAGACACGGCCCAGACUCCUACGGGAGGCGGCAGUAGGGAAUCUUCCGCAAUGGACGAAAGUCUGACGGAGCAAUGCCGCGUGAGUGAAGAAGGUUUUCGGAUCGUAAAACUCUGUUGUAAGGGAAGAACAAGUACGUUAGUAACUGAACGUACCUUGACGGUACCUUACCAGAAAGCCACGGCUAACUACGUG